GUUGUAUUAUCACCCGCCGUUAACGCAUCGAGUUCCUCGCUCGACGUAAAAUCGCUCUUACUAAAUUUCUCCAUCAGUUAUUCACUCUUGUCGCUAAAUAAAUUUAUUAGACACGAUCGCUAGAGCACACGACUGAA
Long non-coding RNA from Neodiprion virginianus, 137 nucleotides. RefSeq lists it as uncharacterized. Lineage: Eukaryota; Metazoa; Arthropoda; Insecta; Hymenoptera; Diprionidae. The transcript is spliced from 3 exons. The record is from RefSeq and is a predicted model, not a curated record.